AAUAUUAUUUUGGCAGAAAAGUGUAAUGAAUUUAGAAUUCAUAACUGUAAUUUAUUUACAAGUAAUA
RNAcentral lists this transfer RNA (67 nucleotides) under Sandracottus dejeanii. RNAcentral's name for it is "tRNA-Leu". Lineage: Eukaryota; Metazoa; Arthropoda; Insecta; Coleoptera; Dytiscidae. The record is from RNAcentral.